RNAcentral lists this ribosomal RNA (301 nucleotides) under uncultured bacterium. RNAcentral's name for it is "partial 16S ribosomal RNA". It matches the Rfam family "Bacterial small subunit ribosomal RNA", at positions 509 to 807 of the family's 1533-position model. The record is from RNAcentral.
CAGCAGCCGCGGUAAUACGGAGGGUGCAAGCGUUACUCGGAAUUACUGGGCGUAAAGCGUGCGUAGGUGGUGGUUUAAGUCCGUUGUGAAAGCCCUGGGCUCAACCUGGGAAUUGCAGUGGAUACUGGGUCACUAGAGUGUGGUAGAGGAUAGUGGAAUUUCCGGUGUAGCAGUGAAAUGCGUAGAGAUCGGAAGGAACAUCUGUGGCGAAGGCGACUAUCUGGGCCAACACUGACACUAAGGCACGAAAGCGUGGGGAGCAAACAGGAUUAGAUACCCCCGUAGUCCCUGUCUCUUAUAC